RNAcentral lists this unclassified non-coding RNA (1939 nucleotides) under Cimex lectularius (bed bug). RNAcentral's name for it is "neuralized-like protein 2, transcript variant X4". Lineage: Eukaryota; Metazoa; Arthropoda; Insecta; Hemiptera; Cimicidae. The record is from RNAcentral.
AAAACGACCAUUUAAAGAUUAAUGUUCGACUGGAUGGAUAUUGGCCGCAGGGAGAAAGGGAAGGGAAAAGGGAAAAUUCGCAGUCGCCGGCGUGAAAGGGGUGGACCCUAGAUGAGGAAGACGUUCAGUCGGUUGUCGCUGCUUGACGAUUCGUCUCGUUCCGCCGUCCUUUCAGUCGGCUUGAUGUUGAUACAAUUCUUUCUGUAAUAAUCAGUCGGAUUAAGCCUUUUAUUUUUUAAAUAUCUAUCCUUACUUAGGUUAAGGUCAUUAGGUGAGGUGCAUCUGGUUUUCGGUCGAAUAGAAACAAUUUGAAUUUUUUGUUUAAAAAUGAGGAAAGGAAGUAGUGGGAAGCAGAUACUGACCAGAUUCCACUCCUAUCACGGUGAGAACAUUGUUCUGAAAGAGAACAACACGGUCGCUUUGAGAAAGACGAGCUUUGCGAACGCUUUGACUUUCAGUGACAAACCUCUUUUGCCCGGUGAGAUAUUCCUCGUCGAGAUAGAAAGGAAUGAAAGCUGUUGGAGCGGGUACAUGAGACUGGGCCUCACUCAGUUGAACCCUCAGAUGAUAUCCAGGAAUAGAGGCUAUCUCCCGAGGUACGCCCUCCCGGACCUGACCAACAUGAGCACCUCCUGGAUAUACGCCAUCACGAAGAACAACGAGUACGAGUUCGAGACGCUUCCUCUGCCUAAUACGACAACCGAGUCGCCCCAGUUGGCAGCUGCUGCCAGCGUUGAUUCGAAAUUUUAUACGGGCGACGAUACGGUCCACACGUCGCGGGGUACCAUCUCGAAGAGUAUCCUCAAGCCCGACAAGUACCAAGACGUCUCCCCGACGGAUGUAGGCAGUAGGAUCGGUGUCUUUUUCAGCCCUAUCAAAUCCAACUAUCUGGAUGGUGAUUAUGCUGAAAUGCACUUUAUUAUCAACGGAGAGGUCCAGGGCCCCUGCUAUAGCUUCAUACCGUACAAGGAGGGACCUCUGUAUGCCGUCGUUGACAUUUACGGCACGACUAAACAGGUCAAGAUCGUCCAGCUCUAUGGAGUUGGUUCUCUGCAAAGCGCUUGCAGAGACGUCAUACUCCAAUGCGUCAGCAAGAAGAAAAUCCACCUCUUGCCUUUACCGAAGGCUUUGAAGCUCUAUUUGCUAUUUCGUUGAACAAGAGAGUUGAUGUUGGUCUGUGUGUCGGUGUACACAUGUUGAACCGGCACUGGGUCUGUCUCUACUUGAUGGUUUUGAUGUCACUCAAAUGCAUUUUGAAACAUUGCCUCACAGAAGAUGGCGCAAAGUGUGAGUGUAGACAGGUCCAGUAAGUAAUGAAAAGAAGAUGGUUUUAAAAUUAACUAAAUUCAUGUCUGUAUGGUGAUUGACCAGUCCAUUUUUGAUCCUGCCUAUCCUCAACAUUAGACCACAAACCUAAUGCUAAAAAUGAUGAAAACUCAAAACUGACGGACUAAAAUGGACAAAAAUGACGAAGUUAAUUAUGUGAAUAUUUUAGCCUUAUGAUUUAUUAUCCUAGUCUUUAAAUACUUUGUUAUUAGCAGUAUUUUUGUUAAAUUUAAGUGGCUUAGAUGCUAACAAAGAGUACAUCUUUGGCAGUACAUCUGAUCACAGGGUAAUUCAUGAUUGUUAAAUUCUAUUACUUGUAACUUGACUGAGUUUUGACAAGACUUCAACUAUUUGUUUUAAGACAUGUUAAAUAUAUAUUAAUUUAGAAAAUUCAUAUUGGUAAAAAAAAGAGUUUUUAAAUGUAAGUUUGCAGAUGAUAUUCCAAAAAAGUGUAAUAAAAUAUAAUUAUCACACCAUUCAUUUGAAUUGUUUUAUAAAAAAACUUGUGUAACGUAGCUGACAAAGGAAUUAAUGGCUCGUGAAUAAUUUGAAUUAUAUUGAAAUAAAGUGUCAUUAUAACAUAAGUAUCAACAAUGUUUUAUUAAAUCUGACA